UAGUGGCGCACGGGUGAGUAACACGUGAGUACCUGCCCCCAAGAGUGGGAUAGCCCCGGGAAACUGGGAUUAAUACCGCAUAAAUUAAAGAGCAAUGCGCUUGGGGAUGGACUCGCGUCCAAUUAGCUAGUUGGUGAGGUAACGGCCCACCAAGGCGACGAUUGGUAGCCGGACUGAGAGGUUGAACGGCCACAUUGGGACUGAGACACGGCCCAGACUCCUACGGGAGGCAGCAGUGGGGGAUAUUGCACAAUGGGGGAAACCCUGAUGCAGCGACGCCGCGUGGAGGAAGAAGGUUUUCGGAUUGUAAACUCCUGUCGUUAGGGACGAUAAGACGGUACCUAACAAGAAAGCACCGGCUAACUACGUGCCAGCAGCCGCGGUAAAACGUAGGGUGCAAGCGUUGUCCGGAAUUACUGGGUGUAAAGGGAGCGCAGGCGGGAAGCAAGUUGGAAGUGAAAACCAUGGGCUCAACCCAUGAAUUGCUUUCAAAACUGUUUUUCUUGAGUAGUGCAGAGGUAGAUGGAAUUCCCGGUGUAGCGGUGGAAUGCGUAGAUAUCGGGAGGAACACCAGUGGCGAAGGCGGUCUACUGGGCACCAACUGACGCUGAGGC
This 614-nucleotide ribosomal RNA is filed under the name uncultured bacterium. RNAcentral describes it as "bacterial SSU rRNA". It matches the Rfam family "Bacterial small subunit ribosomal RNA", at positions 93 to 752 of the family's 1533-position model. The record is from RNAcentral.